Long non-coding RNA from Etheostoma spectabile (orangethroat darter), 95 nucleotides. RefSeq lists it as uncharacterized. The record is from RefSeq and is a predicted model, not a curated record. The transcript is spliced from 4 exons. NCBI's taxonomy places the organism in Eukaryota, Metazoa, Chordata, Actinopteri, Perciformes, Percidae.
UCGUUAAGGUUAUCAGUUUCAGAUGUUUUUCCUACUAUGACAAGUCAAAAUGUCUGCUGUGAAAAAGCUCCAUUAGCAGUGAAGCUAGAGCAGGG